Molecule: ribosomal RNA, 495 nt
Filed under: uncultured bacterium
Lineage: Bacteria
Description: partial 16S ribosomal RNA
Rfam family: Bacterial small subunit ribosomal RNA
Source: RNAcentral
GAUGAACGCUAGCGGGAGGCCUAACACAUGCAAGCCGAGCGGUAUUGUUUCUUCGGAAAUGAGAGAGCGGCGUACGGGUGCGUAACACGUGUGCAACCUGCCUUUAUCUGGGGGAUAGCCUUUCGAAAGGAAGAUUAAUACUCCAUAAUAUAUUGAACGGCAUCGUUUAAUAUUGAAAGCUCCGGCGGAUAGAGAUGGGCACGCGCAAGAUUAGCUAGUUGGUGAGGUAACGGCUCACCAAGGCGAUGAUCUUUAGGGGGCCUGAGAGGGUGAUCCCCCAAACGGUUACUGAGACACGGACCAGACUCCUACGGGAGGCAGCAGUGAGGAAUAUUGGUCAAUGGGUGCAAGCCUGAACCAGCCAUCCCGCGUGAAGGACGACUGCCCUAUGGGUUGUAAACUUCUUUUGUAUAGGGAUAAACCUACCCUCGUGAGGGUAGCUGAAGGUACUAUACGAAUAAGCACCGGCUAACUCCGUGCCAGCAGCCGCCGUAA